AUUGAACGCUGGCGGCAUGCUUUACACAUGCAAGUCGAACGGUAACAGGCCGCAAGGUGCUGACGAUUGGCGAACGGGUGAGUAAUGCAUCGGAACGUGCCCAGUCGUGGGGGAUAACUACUCGAAAGAGUAGCUAAUACCGCAUACGAUCGAUGGAGGAAAGCGGGGGACCGUAAGGCCUCGCGCGAUUUGAGCAGCCGAUGUCAGAUUAGGUAGGUGUUGGGGUAAAGGCGCACCAAGGCAAAGAACUGGAGCUGUUCUGAGAGGACGACAAGGCACACUGGGACUGAGACACGGCCCAGACUCCUACGGGAGGCAGCAGUGGGGAAUUUUGGACAAUGGGCGCAAGCCUGAUCCAGCAAUGCCGCGUGCAGGAAGAAGGCCUUCGGGUUGUAAACUGCUUUUGUACGGAAAGAAAAGGCUCUGGUUAAUACCCGGGGAUAAUGACGGUACCGUAAGAAUAAGCACCGGCUAACUACGUG
RNAcentral lists this ribosomal RNA (482 nucleotides) under uncultured bacterium. Its description in RNAcentral is "partial 16S ribosomal RNA". It matches the Rfam family "Bacterial small subunit ribosomal RNA", at positions 29 to 507 of the family's 1533-position model. The record is from RNAcentral.